This is a long non-coding RNA of Armigeres subalbatus, 381 nucleotides long. RefSeq lists it as uncharacterized. The transcript has 3 exons. NCBI's taxonomy places the organism in Eukaryota, Metazoa, Arthropoda, Insecta, Diptera, Culicidae. The record is from RefSeq and is a predicted model, not a curated record.
AAAUAGUGGUGGCACGAAAUUAGUACGGAAUAGAUUAGAUAGGAGUGUUUAAGCAGAACAAAAAAACCCAGUGUAUUUGAAUUAUAUACACUCAACAAAAAGGUCCUAGUGGGCCUUUUUCUGCUCUUCUAUUCCUUGGCGUAUACAGGUGGUGAUUUGGCAUUCCCCAGGGCGAAAGUUGGACCGAUUCCCUAACCAGCGCACGCAAAUUCCCGCCGCAUACGAUAGUUCCGGACCGAAUUGGGGUCAUUCCAACAUCGCCGGCGUUCCGAUCGAGCCACGUGGAUGAGGUUCCGCCAUUGUGAAACGGGCCGGACCGCUCCUUUGUUCCGAGCCGUCGGCCAUUGCUUUCGCCAAGCGUUUACCGUCGUCGAACCCCAC